RNAcentral lists this ribosomal RNA (288 nucleotides) under uncultured bacterium. Its description in RNAcentral is "partial 16S ribosomal RNA". It matches the Rfam family "Bacterial small subunit ribosomal RNA", at positions 775 to 1067 of the family's 1533-position model. The record is from RNAcentral.
GGAUUAGAUACCCUGGUAGUCCACGCCUUAAACGUUGAUCACUAGAUGUUGGCGAUACACAGUCAGCGUCCAAGCGAAAGUGUUAAGUGAUCCACCUGGGGAGUACGAUCGCAAGAUUGAAACUCAAAGGAAUUGACGGGGGCCCGCACAAGCGGUGGAGUAUGUGGUUUAAUUCGAUGAUACGCGAGGAACCUUACCUGGGCUUGAAAGUUAGUGACCGAUGCCGAAAGGUGUUUUCCCGCAAGGGCACGAAACUAGGUGCUGCAUGGCUGUCGUCAGCUCGUGCCG